Molecule: ribosomal RNA, 593 nt
Filed under: uncultured eukaryote
Lineage: Eukaryota
Description: bacterial SSU rRNA
Rfam family: Eukaryotic small subunit ribosomal RNA
Source: RNAcentral
CUGGUUGAUCCUGCCAGUAGUCAUAUGCUUGUCUCAAGGACUAAGCCAUGCAAAUCUUAGAAUAACCGUGUCUUGAUACGGUAAGUCUGUGUACGGCUCAUUAAACGGUUUAUAGUCUCCCCAACAAAGAGGGCAGUCAUGCCUUCCUAUGGGAUAUCUUUGCGAAACGCAAAGCUAAUACCUGUAAGAAAAAUCGCUUGCUAUCAAACACCUAGGGGCAACCCGAAGGUGUGGCGGGCGAUGUGAUUGGCCGAAACAAAAAUAGACGCUCGAACAGAGCAGCUGUAAUUGUUGACGCAGGCCAAAGUCGCGAAAGCACAAUUUUGUGCGAUGUUGGACGAAUUUACCACCUAUCAGGUAUUGAAGGUAGUGUAGUGGACUACCUUGCCUCUGACGGGUAACGGGGGAUUGGGGUUCGAUUCCGGAGAGGGUGCCUGAGAGACGGCAACCAUGACUAUGGUCAGCAGCAGGCGCGCAAAUUGCCCAAUGCCAACAAAUGGCGAGGCAGCGACGAAAAAUCACAGUCCCCUAGGGGAUCUGCAAUGGACUGUACCCAAACAAACUGAUGAAUACUAUUGGAGGGCAAGYCUGGU